GUCAAUGGGACAGAUCUACUGCAUGGAUGAGCACACAUGCACGAACUCCUCCCAGUGCCUGGGAAGCAGAGCAAUCAGAAGGUGGGAACAGAACUGUUACUGUUGUUAAAUGUCAGAAAGCAUUUUCCUCUGUGACAACUUCGCUGGGAAUUACCUUCAGUGUGGAGCUGCAGCUCCUGGAACAAAGCAUUCACCAAAGCAAUUACCCAGACUUCCUAAAAACAUGCAGUUUCUGCUUGUGGCAAUAUGGAUCAGUAACACAUCCUCCAACAUACGGAUUCCUG
This 284-nucleotide long non-coding RNA is filed under the name Chrysolophus pictus (golden pheasant). RNAcentral's name for it is "lncRNA (ENSCPIG00010014293.1)". The record is from RNAcentral. Lineage: Eukaryota; Metazoa; Chordata; Aves; Galliformes; Phasianidae.